AACGAAUGCUGGCGGCGUGCUUAACACAUGCAAGUCGAACGCGAAAGUCCUUCGGGGCGAGUAGAGUGGCGCACGGGUGAGUAAUGAAUAGGAACGUACCUUUUGGUGGGGAAUAACUUCGGGAAACCGGAGCUAAUACCGCAUAAGGAUGUAAAUCGAAAGAGGGCCUCUCCUUGGAAGCUCUCGCCAAUAGAUCGGCCUAUUUCCCAUUAGCUAGUUGGUAGGGUAAAGGCUUACCAAGGCGACGAUGGGUAGCUGGUCUGAGAGGAUGAUCAGCCACACUGGAACUGAGACACGGUCCAG
RNAcentral lists this ribosomal RNA (303 nucleotides) under uncultured bacterium. RNAcentral describes it as "bacterial SSU rRNA". It matches the Rfam family "Bacterial small subunit ribosomal RNA", at positions 29 to 334 of the family's 1533-position model. The record is from RNAcentral.